RNAcentral lists this ribosomal RNA (924 nucleotides) under bacterium enrichment culture clone L55B-29. Its description in RNAcentral is "bacterial SSU rRNA". It matches the Rfam family "Bacterial small subunit ribosomal RNA", at positions 8 to 916 of the family's 1533-position model. The record is from RNAcentral.
AGAGUUUGAUCAUGGCUCAGGGCUAACGCUGGCGGCGUGUCUUAGCCAUGCAAGUCGAGCGGACUUAUGGGGUAACUUAUAAGUCAGCGGCGGACGGCGGAGUAACACGUAGCUAACCUACCCUCUGGACGGGGAUAACCUACCGAAAGGUGGGCUAAUACCCGAUGUAGUCAUCCUGUAUAGGGGUGAUGAAAGGUGGGCUUCUGUUUACAAGCUCAUGCUGGAGGAGGGGGCUGCGGCCUAUCAGGUAGUUGGUAGGGUAAUAGCCUACCAAGCCGAUGACGGGUAGCCGGCCUGAGAGGGUGACCGGCCCGAGGGGCACUGAGAUACGGGUCCCACUCCUACGGGAGGCAGCAGGCUAGAAAUUUGGGCAAUGGGGGAAACCCUGACCCAGUGACGCCGCGUGCAGGAAGGAGCCCUUCGGGGUGUAAACUGCUGUCGUGUAGGGAGAAGGGUACUAAGGUGAACAAUCUUAGUACUUGACGGUACUACAGGAGGAAGCCCAGGCUAACCUCGUGCCAGCAGCCGCGGUAAUACGGGGUGGGCGAGCGUUGCCCGGAAUUACUGGGUUUAAAGGGGGUGUAGGCGGUCUGGAUAGUCAGGUGUGUAAUGCAAUCGCUCAACGAUUGAGCUGCAUCUGAUACUUCCAGGCUAGAGGGCGGUAGAGGAGAGCGGAACUCCCGGUGUAGCGGUGGAAUGCGUAGAUAUCGGGAGGAACGCCGGUGGCGAAGGCGGCUCUCUGGGCCGUUCCUGACGCUGAGGCCCGAAAGCUGGGGGAGCGAAAGGGAUUAGAUACCCCUGUAGUCCCAGCCGUAAACGAUGGGCACUAGGUGUACCUUUUAACGGAGGUAUACCGUCGGGAAACCAAUAAGUGCCCCACCUGGGGAGUACGCCCGCAAGGGUGAAACUCAAAUGAAUUGACGG